RNAcentral lists this long non-coding RNA (475 nucleotides) under Brachypodium distachyon (stiff brome). RNAcentral describes it as "long non-coding RNA (BDIS_LNC000535)". Lineage: Eukaryota; Viridiplantae; Streptophyta; Magnoliopsida; Poales; Poaceae. The record is from RNAcentral.
GAGCCGGCGAGUAAAAUGGAACUUAGGGUGUCUCUCGACAUGCAUGAUUCUUUGUGCAAUACUUUUUAAAAAUUUAAAAUGUGAUUUUCACUAAUUAAGUUUCUAUAAACCAGGAGCGUAUCAGUCCUGUUCAAAUUAGUAUUUUUCAUGAUCUCGGAUAGUUUUAACGCAGGGUUGAUGUGAUUCGUGAUUUUUUUAUUACAAUUUUUUUUCUUGAGGGAAAAGACGGUCGACACCCGUCAUUCGGCUAAGGAGAAGCACUGUACAAAAGGGGAUCAAAGAUUGGUCGCCCCAAAGAAAAACGAAAAGGAAAGAAAGGAAAAGAGCGUGGCCAAGCGAACUAAUCUCCCGGGUCUAAAGAACACGCCCUAAUUCUACCCUGGUACUCCUCCCAAACAAAGUGGACAACCUAAAUCGCCGUGGCCGUGGUCCCCUUGAAGAUCCUUCUAUUGCGUUCCUUCCAAACUCCCCAUCA